GGGUUGUGAGGUUAAGCGACUAAGCGUACACGGUGGAUGCCCUGGCAGUCAGAGGCGAUGAAGGGCGUGCUAAUCUGCGAUAAGCGCCGGUAAGGUGAUAUGAACCGUUAUAACCGGCGAUACCCGAAUGGGGAAACCCAGUGUGAUUCGUCACACUAUCAUUAACUGAAUCCAUAGGUUAAUGAGGCGAACCGGGGGAACUGAAACAUCUAAGUACCCCGAGGAAAAGAAAUCAACCGAGAUUCCCCCAGUAGCGGCGAGCGAACGGGGAGGAGCCCAGAGCCUGAAUCAGCAUGUGUGUUAGUGGAAGCGUCUGGAAAGGCGCGCGAUACAGGGUGACAGCCCCGUACACAAAAGCGCAUGUGCUGUGAGCUCGAUGAGUAGGGCGGGACACGUGGUAUCCUGUCUGAAUAUGGGGGGACCAUCCUCCAAGGCUAAAUACUCCUGACUGACCGAUAGUGAACCAGUACCGUGAGGGAAAGGCGAAAAGAACCCCGGCGAGGGGAGUGAAAAAGAACCUGAAACCGUGUACGUACAAGCAGUGGGAGCCCCACCACCAAAGCAUUCUCUGGUGUUGAAGGCCCUGCAAAGCAGCAUCGCGGUGGCGGAGCGUCGUUUGCGACGCCCAACACACAAAACAAGCGGUGAGUGCUUUGGGGUGGGGUGACUGCGUACCUUUUGUAUAAUGGGUCAGCGACUUAUAUUCUGUAGCAAGGUUAACCGUAUAGGGGAGCCGGAGGGAAACCGAGUCUUAACCGGGCGUUAAGUUGCAGGGUAUAGACCCGAAACCCGGUGAUCUAGCCAUGGGCAGGUUGAAGGUUGGGUAACACUAACUGGAGGACCGAACCGACUAAUGUUGAAAAAUUAGCGGAUGACCUGUGGCUGGGGGUGAAAGGCCAAUCAAACCGGGAGAUAGCUGGUUCUCCCCGAAAGCUAUUUAGGUAGCGCCUCGUGAAUUCAUCUCCGGGGGUAGAGCACUGUUUCGGCUAGGGGGCCAUCCCGGCUUACCAACCCGAUGCAAACUGCGAAUACCGGAGAAUGUUAUCACGGGAGACACACGGCGGGUGCUAACGUCCGUCGUGAAGAGGGAAACAACCCAGACCGCCAGCUAAGGUCCCAAAGUCAUGGUUAAGUGGGAAACGAUGUGGGAAGGCCCAGACAGCCAGGAUGUUGGCUUAGAAGCAGCCAUCAUUUAAAGAAAGCGUAAUAGCUCACUGGUCGAGUCGGCCUGCGCGGAAGAUGUAACGGGGCUAAACCAUGCACCGAAGCUGCGGCAGCGAACGUAUCACCCAAGACAACUUUACGGAGUUGACGAUUGACGGAGCGAAGCGACGUCAAAGCGUUCAUUAAAGUCGAGUUGGCUUAGGGAUACGUUCGUUGGGUAGGGGAGCGUUCUGUAAGCCUGUGAAGGUGGCCUGUGAGGGUUGCUGGAGGUAUCAGAAGUGCGAAUGCUGACAUAAGUAACGAUAAAGCGGGUGAAAAGCCCGCUCGCCGGAAGACCAAGGGUUCCUGUCCAACGUUAAUCGGGGCAGGGUGAGUCGACCCCUAAGGCGAGGCCGAAAGGCGUAGUCGAUGGGAAACGGGUUAAUAUUCCCGUACUUGGUGUUACUGCGAAGGGGGGACGGAGAAGGCUAUGUUGGCCGGGCGACGGUUGUCCCGGUUUAAGCGUGUAGGUGUGUGUUCCAGGUAAAUCCGGUUCACUUUAACACUGAGGCGUGAUGACGAGGCACUACGGUGCUGAAGCAACAAAUGCCCUGCUUCCAGGAAAAGCCUCUAAGCAUCAGGUAACAUCAAAUCGUACCCCAAACCGACACAGGUGGUCAGGUAGAGAAUACCAAGGCGCUUGAGAGAACUCGGGUGAAGGAACUAGGCAAAAUGGUGCCGUAACUUCGGGAGAAGGCACGCUGACACGUAGGUGAAGUGAUUUACUCAUGGAGCUGAAGUCAGUCGAAGAUACCAGCUGGCUGCAACUGUUUAUUAAAAACACAGCACUGUGCAAACACGAAAGUGGACGUAUACGGUGUGACGCCUGCCCGGUGCCGGAAGGUUAAUUGAUGGGG
RNAcentral lists this ribosomal RNA (2060 nucleotides) under Salmonella enterica subsp. enterica serovar Derby. RNAcentral's name for it is "partial 23S ribosomal RNA". It matches the Rfam family "Bacterial large subunit ribosomal RNA", at positions 1 to 1889 of the family's 2925-position model. Lineage: Bacteria; Pseudomonadati; Pseudomonadota; Gammaproteobacteria; Enterobacterales; Enterobacteriaceae. The record is from RNAcentral.